Molecule: ribosomal RNA, 162 nt
Filed under: Enterococcus hirae
Lineage: Bacteria; Bacillati; Bacillota; Bacilli; Lactobacillales; Enterococcaceae
Description: partial 16S ribosomal RNA
Rfam family: Bacterial small subunit ribosomal RNA
Source: RNAcentral
UUUUGUGGAGGGUUCGAUUCUGGCUCAGGAUGAACGCUGGCGGCGUGCUUAACACAUGCAAGUCGAACGGGAUCCAUCAGGCUUUGCUUGGUGGUGAGAGUGGCGAACGGGUGAGUAAUGCGUGACCGACCUGCCCCAUACACCGGAAUAGCUCCUGGAAAC